UCAGAGGGGAAUAACCCGGCGAAAGUCGGACUAAUACCGCAUAAAACAGGGGCACCGCAUGGUGAUAUUUGUUAAAGAAAUUCGCUGAUAGGUGGGCAUGCGUUCCAUUAGGUAGUUGGUGAGGUAACGGCUCACCAAGCCGACGAUGGAUAGGGGAGCUGAGAGGUUGGUCCCCCACACUGGUACUGAGACACGGACCAGACUCCUACGGGAGGCAGCAGUGAGGAAUAUUGGUCAAUGGGCGGGAGCCUGAACCAGCCAAGUCGCGUGGAAAAGGAAGAAGGAUCUAUGGUUACGUAAACUUCUUUUGCGAGGGGAAUAAAGUGCAGGACGUGUCCUGUUUUGUAUGUACCCUGAGAAUAAGGAUCGGCUAACUCCGUGCCAGCAGCAGC
Molecule: ribosomal RNA, 392 nt
Filed under: uncultured bacterium
Lineage: Bacteria
Description: bacterial SSU rRNA
Rfam family: Bacterial small subunit ribosomal RNA
Source: RNAcentral